Long non-coding RNA from Brassica rapa (field mustard), 3178 nucleotides. RefSeq lists it as uncharacterized. The record is from RefSeq and is a predicted model, not a curated record. NCBI's taxonomy places the organism in Eukaryota, Viridiplantae, Streptophyta, Magnoliopsida, Brassicales, Brassicaceae.
UCCCUCUCGAUCCGCACUUCACGAGAGGAAACACAGUAACGUUAGUAUGAAGAGGCAUAUAUUGUGUGUAUGUAUAAUUGCAACGUCACAAAAUAUUUUGUGUGUUUACGAAGAUACUUUCAUUCAAAAAAUAGAAUAAAGAGUGUAUAGUUUUAGAAAUAACAGAUUUUAUAUUAUCAUUAAUUAAAAUUGUAUUGUAUAUGUGUCGUAAUUCUUUAUUUUCGGUGAAUAAUAUUAUUUUUCUAUAAAUAAUAAACAAACAUUUAUGUAGACAUAUUAAAAGAAAAUAUAAUAAAAAUCAAAAUAUUAUCCAUAAAUAAUAUAAAUUAUGAAAUACAUUUCUCGAUAAAAAAAGCAAAUUCAAUUAGAAACCUGAAAAAAAUUAUAUCUACCAAGCUCUUCUGCUUACAUGUAUUUUGUCUACCACGUUCCUCAAUCGAGGUAUUUUUUUGGAUGUUAUUGUUACUAAAAUUACAUUUUAAAUAUAAAAAAAAAAAGAAUAUCUCCGGAGUAGUUUACACUAAUGAUUUAAUUAACAAAUCUUGUCCUUAAAGUUUAAAUAUUAAAGCAUGAGAUUAGGAAAUAAGAUAUUAUUUCAGUAGAGAAAAUACCAUCCUACUAUAGAUAUUUUAAAAAUAUAAUUGAUUAUCCAAUUUUGAUGUAGAGUAGAGAAAAUACCAUUCUAAGUGCACAUCUUUUGCAGGAUCGGAAUGGUGAACUCUUAGAGGUCUGAAAUAUGACCACUUCUCUCAAAUCAUCUCUGAAAAAAUAUAAAACAAAAUCACAAUCAGCAAACCAAAAAACAAAUAUGUGUCACUACAAAAAAAGGAUCAUAUUACAUCACUUAAAUAGAAUCACAAAAAUAAAUGAUACUAUUUAGAAUUACUUAUUAGGAAAUGAUACAAAAUAUAUGUUUUAACAUCAGUCAUAACAAACGAUGCGGUUAUUAACUUGUUUGGCAUCGAUUGAAUGAAAUUGAUGCAAAUCUUUAUUAGUUUACAUCACUUUUUGAAAGAUGAUAGAAAAUAUGAGUUUACAUCAAUUAAAUGAUCGAUACAUUUAUUAAUUUGUAUUAACAUCACUUAUUAAAAUGAUUCAAAAGUAACAACAUUUUAAUAAAUGUUGCAAAUUUGACAUCAAUGAUAAAAAUGAUACUAACAUAAUUUUCAUUAGUUACUAAUAUGUACGUAGAUCAUUUCUUCUUAUAAACGAUUUUUUAUGCUUUGAUAAAUAAUUUUGAAUUGAUUUAAUAAGUAAGCUACAUUAAUUGAUAUUUUGAAUAUUAAAAAUAUAACAUAUAUAUAUUGACUAAAUAAAGAAUCUGAAAAUCUAUAUUUAAAAAAAAAACAUUUUUAUACUCACUAGAAUACAUAUUUAAUUAAAAGAAAGAAAUUAUUCUAUUUUUUUACAACUAAUAUUUUAAUUUUUCGACCUAAUUAAUAAAUGUUAAUAGUUAAUCUUAUAUAUGUACUGCGUUAAUUUGUUUUGUAAAGAAAAUUGUAAACCAUUAAAAAUCUAUAUGUUUGUUACCAAGAAUAUAGCAAUAUCUCCUAUUUUAUCUCACCACUAGUUCACGUUUCCUUCUAAUAAGAAAUCAACUGAAUAAAAGCAACGAUCAUUUACAUCUUUUUUGCAAAGUCUUUUCUUCCACACACAAUUCCUUAACACAGUUUAAGAGAGGUUGAAUCUGCAGAUCUGAAAUAAUAUUCUUGGAACCUUCGUGAAGUCUACUAUUGUUUACCUCAGGAACCAUUGGUUAAGAAGAAACUAUUAGCUUAAAACCCUACAACCAAGAGCAGAAGAUACAGAGAAUUGGAAGAAGAAGAAGCUUGAUCGAAGAACUCUUACGGCGAACUAUGUUUAUCUGUUUUUUUUUUUAAUUGUAUUCUUUUGUUUUCUUGUUUUUGUAAUUUUCUUAUUUUUAAUUGUAACAUCAAUGAAAAGAACAAUGAGAAAUAAUUAACAAUUAAUAAAAGUGAUAUAAUUGAUUAUUAAAAUCAAUUAAUUGAUUGAUGCUAAUAUUAACAUCAUUUUAAUAAAUGAUAUAAAUAUUAAUAUCAGUUAUUGUAAUUGAUAUAUAUUUUACAUCAUUUAUAAUAGUUGAUGUAAAUAUUUAGAAUUUUUACAUCAGUUAUUAACAAAAUGAUGUGAAUUAUUUGCAUCACCACUUUCAGAGUCAUUUAUAUAAAUGAUGCAAAAUUAUUUUACAUCAUUUAUAACUAAUGCAAAAAUACAUAAUAAAUGAUGCUAAACAACAGUUUUUUUGUAGUGUGUAUAUAUAAGCUUAUAAUUCUAAACAAUAAUAUAAAUCUAGAAAUCAAAAAAAAAAAAUAUUCGCAGCACAAAAAGAUGCUAUUGAAAUGAUUUAGCUGAGAGAUGUUAUCAAAUUGAGUAAAAUUUUUUUACCAGAUUGAGGAGGAAAGAUGUUAUCGAAAUGAUAUAUCAAAGAGGUGUACAAUCAAAUCAUAUAUAGCUUCAGUGGAGAAAUCGUCAUAAUAGGGUAUCUGCAUAUAAACCAAAAGAAAAAUCAGCUCUCAUGAAAUAUAAAAGCUUAAUGUUCUAAAAUAAGAAGAAAAAAAAGUUCAGAACAUUAUUAACAUUAAAAGUUCAGAAUACAAAGCACAAUUAUUUCGUUUCUUCUACUGUGAAUGUCUUAUUUAUAGUAAAUUGGUAGACGUUUCUCAUUGAUUUAGCUUGCAUGAUAAGCUAAGAAAUAGAAUAUUCUUUAAUAAAUUCUCAAUAAAUCUUAUACUUAUAAGGUAAUAUUAUUUUUGGAAUAUCUUGUUAAUAAAGCUAAAGGAGAACAUCUCGUGAAUAGAUUGCACCAGAAUUUUGGUUGACAAGUCUCACCAUAAAUAUUAAGUUUUAAAUGCAUGAUUUUAGGAGAGAAAAUAUCAUGUCAAUUAAUUUCGUUUCUCUAACAUCUAAAAUAUUUAGUGAGUAUUUAAUGAAUUAAACAGAGAAAUGAUCGCAAAAAGAUGUUCUUUGAAUCGAGAAAACACAAAAGUUAAGUAUUAAAGUGAUUUCAUUUUUAGUAGUGUCGAUGAUUAAAAUAAAUCGAAAAAGAAAUUCUAAAAAAUCAAUCAACAAAAUCAAGAGAAUUCUUUCCAUUUGUAAUAAGGAAACUAAUUAUUACAUGUAUUAACUAAUAUUGUUGCGCAAGUAAUGUUAAUAGAGG